AUAUGGAUCUAAUGGGAGUCCUAAGUAUUAGGAGUUGGGUCUUCUGNAGUCUCCAAGGCUUACUCCGGAGGCGCAUCAUCACCUACUACUCACAUCCAAGGGAUUGGAUGAUCAUCGCAAGGGAGAAAGGCAAGCACAUACAACAAACAAAUGCAAAGGUAAGCUAGGUAUAUAUAAAAAAAAAGCAUGUUACUAAUCAAGUAUUUCAAGCAUGUAAUGACAAUAACACAACACAAAUUGUAACUGAAUGCAUUUUAUUGAUACCAAGGACCGACCACGUGAUUUGACCGUCCGGACUAGUAUGAAAUGUCGAGUUCCAGGGGUUUGUGCACUUGUGGUGGCCCUACUGCUUUGCAAAGCCAUUGCCGAGGGGUUUCACNCGACCACACACAAGUGUAAGUCCAACCAAACUCAUCUUGGCCNAUAUAAAAUGGAGACACCCAAAACUAGGACCUCCUCCUAUUCUCACCACAUGACUCAUCACUCUCUAAUUGAGCAUGGAUGGUCAUUAGAAUGUCAAGGUAAACCCCAUCCUGAACUCCGGCCAUUCAUACGGUNAAUCACGAUAAACUAUAGUGGCACCACCAUGUAACCUCCCUUGAGGAUCAUGGAAUUACGUCCAAUAACCAUACUUUUACUUUGAAACUUAACUCAACACAUGAACCACCAAAUACCAUGACAUUAUCUCACUGAAUCAAUAUAAAACCAUGUACAUGUAACCCUUCAACUUUACUUUGCAUACAAACAUAUAUAUAACAUUAAUUUCACUUCAAAAAAACCACAAACAAUCCAAAAUCCAAUGAACUCAUACUUAGACAAGGAAAAUGACUUUGAAACCAUCACCAACAGUUCUGGAAGGGUCUAAAACCCCCAGAACGACCUAAAGAAUGUCCAAAACGGACAUCCGGAACCCUCCAAACUAUCAAAAAUAAAAGCAACAGCAGAAAAGGGCGCCCAACGCCCUUUUGGGGCGCCCAUGCGCCAUAUUUCUGGCAAAUGCCGAAUCAAAGGGCACCCAGCGCCCUUCAGGGGCGCCCAGGCGUGAACUCUGCAGAUUUUUCUGUAGAAUUUGCAGUUUUGGAAGAACUCACACUCCUAAGUUUCGUUUUAGGCCUUUUGGUGAACUUUGGACACUCCUAACUCGAAAUACAAGUUGAAUCUAACUUGUUUGAAGUCUCACACACCAUCCUAACUCAAAACUCUAAGAGAUAUGCAAGGAAAUUNGAUCUAAAACUCUAAUAUGAUUCACCUAGGAGCUCAAUCUGAAUUCUACCACUUAGAAACCAUUUUAGGCCAAUUAUACACUUCCUAUAAGUCACAAUUGACUUUACUAAGCUAUCCCAAACACCUAUUUCAGACCCGGAUCCCNAUUUUUAAAAUUCACUACCUAAGUUCCUUAUUUUUAACUCAAACGCUAAAAAUUAACUUAGUCAUUUUACUUACAACCUGCAUAAACUAAAUUCUCAACCCUCAACAAUGAAAUCCACAUAAUCAUACAGUUCACAAAUAGUAGCAGAUCAGUUCAUACCAAACACACAUCAUAAAACAUAAAUUUCAAAACAUGNUCUUUUACAAUUCAGUCCAAAUUAACGAAACUUUUCACCCAAUUUAUACCUACAUCAGAUUUUAAUANUUCUACUUGAAUAUCAAACUAAAAACAGAGUAAAUUUUCAAACAAGAAGUUAGAAUCCAACUUCCCUUACCUCUNAGUCGAACAACUCAACUCUUAAGAAGAUCAAUCGAACCUUACUCCUCAGGAAACGCUAAAGAUGCCUAUGGACCACCAAUUGGUGAUAGAAAUAAGUAUUUAUAAUGUGAAUUGAGCUAGAAUUUGAGGAAACAGGUACAAUGAGCUACAUGCAACGAGGUUGCUACAUGAUCACAGCUCCAAGAUGAAAGGAAAGGGGGAGAACGCUUACCGGAUGGAAAUACCAAAUUGAUCGAUAUAUUUGAGACCCGCAACACCCGAAUUUACCUAAGCUUCCCCUGAUUAUGAGUGGAUGGUAGGAAUUCUAGAGAGAUGGUAGAGAAGGUUUUAGAAUCAGAGUUUUAGAGAGAUGAGGGAUUUUAAGCAAAUGGGUCAAAUGUGUUUUUAAAAGACUUUCAUUUUUAUGUUGCUGAUAUGUUUUAAAAAUAUGGUCCCAUUGACUUAGUACCCUUAUUACUCUUAAGUCCUAAUUUCUAGGUUAUUACA
This 2194-nucleotide long non-coding RNA is filed under the name Vigna radiata. RNAcentral's name for it is "long non-coding RNA (VRAD_LNC011706)". The record is from RNAcentral. Lineage: Eukaryota; Viridiplantae; Streptophyta; Magnoliopsida; Fabales; Fabaceae.